RNAcentral lists this ribosomal RNA (392 nucleotides) under uncultured bacterium. RNAcentral's name for it is "bacterial SSU rRNA". It matches the Rfam family "Bacterial small subunit ribosomal RNA", at positions 28 to 420 of the family's 1533-position model. The record is from RNAcentral.
GACGAACGCUAGCGGCGUGCCUAAGGUAUGCAAGUCGGACGCUCGUUCCCUUCGGGGGGCGGGUAGUGGCGAACGGUCGCGUAACACGUAGACUACCUGCCUCCCAGUGGGGGAGUACCUCCGGGAAACCGGGGCUAAUACCGCAUACGGUGGCGAAGAGCCUUCUUCGCUGACCAAAGGCGCAAGUCGCUGGGAGAUGGGUCUGCGGCCUAUCGGCUUGUUGGUGGGGUAACGGCCUACCAAGGCGACGACGGGUAGCNGGUCUGAGAGGAUGAUCAGCCGGACGGGGACUGAGACACGGCCCCGACUCCUUCGGGAGGCAGCAAUGAGGAAUAUUGCGCAAUGGGCGAAAGCCUGACGCAGCGACGCCGCGUGGGUGAGGAAGUCCUUGG